CCUACGGGUGGCUGCAGUGGGGAAUAUUGGACAAUGGGCGAAAGCCUGAUCCAGCCAUGCCGCGUGUGUGAAGAAGGCCUUCGGGUUGUAAAGCACUUUCAGUGGGGAAGAAAGCCUUGGGGCUAAUACCCUCGAGGAAGGACAUCACCCACAGAAGAAGCACCGGCUAACUCUGUGCCAGCAGCCGCGGUAAUACGGAGGGUGCGAGCGUUAAUCGGAAUUACUGGGCGUAAAGCGCGCGUAGGCGGUCUGAUAAGCCGGUUGUGAAAGCCCCGGGCUCAACCUGGGAACGGCAUCCGGAACUGUCAGGCUAGAGUGCAGGAGAGGAAGGUAGAAUUCCCGGUGUAGCGGUGAAAUGCGUAGAGAUCGGGAGGAAUACCAGUGGCGAAGGCGGUCUUCUGGACUGACACUGACGCUGAGGUGCGAAAGCGUGGGUAGCAAACAGGAUUAGAUACCCUUGUAGUC
RNAcentral lists this ribosomal RNA (465 nucleotides) under Vreelandella stevensii. RNAcentral's name for it is "partial 16S ribosomal RNA". It matches the Rfam family "Bacterial small subunit ribosomal RNA", at positions 338 to 795 of the family's 1533-position model. The record is from RNAcentral. Lineage: Bacteria; Pseudomonadati; Pseudomonadota; Gammaproteobacteria; Oceanospirillales; Halomonadaceae.